UCUUAGUGGCGGACGGGUGAGUAACGCGUGGGUAACCUGCCUUAUACAGGGGGAUAACACUUAGAAAUAGGUGCUAAUACCGCAUAAGCGCACGGGGCUGCAUGGCCCAGUGUGAAAAACUCCGGUGGUAUAAGAUGGACCCGCGUCUGAUUAGCUUGUUGGCGGGGUAACGGCCCACCAAGGCGACGAUCAGUAGCUGGCCUGAGAGGGUGGACGGCCACAUUGGGACUGAGACACGGCCCAAACUCCUACGGAAGGCAGCAG
This 264-nucleotide ribosomal RNA is filed under the name uncultured bacterium. Its description in RNAcentral is "partial 16S ribosomal RNA". It matches the Rfam family "Bacterial small subunit ribosomal RNA", at positions 90 to 354 of the family's 1533-position model. The record is from RNAcentral.